GAUGAACGCUAGCGGCAGGCCUAAUACAUGCAAGUCGAACGGGAUCCUGAUCAAAGCUUGCUUUGGUUUGGGGAGAGUGGCGUACGGGUGCGUAACGCGUGGGCAACCUCCCCUUGUCAGGGGGUUAGCCCGGCGAAAGUCGGCUUAAUACCGCUUGACAUCAUUGAGAGGCACCUUUCGAUGAUCAACGAUUUAUGGGACAAGGAUCGGCUCGCGUGACAUUAGCUAGUCGGUAAGGUGACGGCUUACCAAGGCUACGAUGUCUAGGGGCUCUGAGAGGAGAAUACCCCACACUGGUACUGCGACACGGACCAGACUCCUACGGGAGGGAGCAGUAAGGAAUAUUAGGCAAUGGAGGGAAGUCUGAACCAACCGCGCCGCGUGCAGGAAGACGGCCCUAGGGGAUGUAAACUGCUUUUAUACGGGAACAAACGUCUGUACGUGUACCGGUCUGAGGGUACCGGAAGAAUAAGGAUCGGCUAACUCCGUG
Molecule: ribosomal RNA, 490 nt
Filed under: uncultured bacterium
Lineage: Bacteria
Description: partial 16S ribosomal RNA
Rfam family: Bacterial small subunit ribosomal RNA
Source: RNAcentral